Molecule: ribosomal RNA, 253 nt
Filed under: uncultured bacterium
Lineage: Bacteria
Description: partial 16S ribosomal RNA
Rfam family: Bacterial small subunit ribosomal RNA
Source: RNAcentral
UACGUAGGCAGCGAGCGUUGUUCGGAGUUACUGGGCGUAAAGGGUGUGUAGGCGGUUCUCUAAGUUUGGUGUGAAAUCUCCCGGCUCAACCGGGAGGGUGCGCCGAAAACUGGAGGGCUAGAGUGCGGGAAGGGAGAGUAGAAUUCCUGGUGUAGCGGUGAAAUGCGUAGAUAUCAGGAGGAACACCCAUAGCGAAGGCAACUUGCUGGGACGUUACUGACGCUAAGGCGCGAAAGCGUGGGGAGCGAACAGG